GUAUUGGACAAACCUCCUUGUCAAAGCCUGGUCUCGUCAGAUUUCAGACGCUAAACAGGGCCGGGCCUGGUUGGUACUUGGAUGGGAGACCACUGGGAGCCAUAGUCGUUGUGUCCU
RNAcentral lists this ribosomal RNA (117 nucleotides) under Periophthalmus magnuspinnatus. Lineage: Eukaryota; Metazoa; Chordata; Actinopteri; Gobiiformes; Gobiidae. The record is from RNAcentral.